UACAUUUUAGUUUAUGUUGAACAAUAGAUUUUGACUCUUUAGGAAAUAGUUUGAUUCUGUUAAAUGUAA
This 69-nucleotide transfer RNA is filed under the name Erotylidae sp. BMNH 1274392. RNAcentral's name for it is "tRNA-Gln". It matches the Rfam family "tRNA". Rfam says of the family: Transfer RNA (tRNA) molecules are approximately 80 nucleotides in length. The record is from RNAcentral. Lineage: Eukaryota; Metazoa; Arthropoda; Insecta; Coleoptera; Erotylidae.